CACCUGGUUGAUCCUGCCAGUAGUCAUAUGCUUGUCUCAAAGAUUAAGCCAUGCAUGUCUAAGUAUAAGCUUUAAACGGCGAAACUGCGAAUGGCUCAUUAAAACAGUUAUAGUUUAUUUGGUGAUCGAUUACUAUUUGGAUAACCGUAGUAAUUCUAGAGCUAAUACAUGCGUCAAGGCCCGACUUCGGAAGGGCUGCGUUUAUUAGAUACAGAACCAACCUAGGCUCCGCCUAGUCCUUGUUGGUGAUUCAUAAUAACCCGGCGAAUCGCACGGCUUGUCCGGCGAUGGACCAUUCAAGUUUCUGACCUAUCAGCUAUGGACGGUAGGGUAUUGGCCUACCGUGGCGUUGACGGGUAACGGGGAAUUAGGGUUCGAUUCCGGAGAGGGAGCCUGAGAAACGGCUACCACAUCUAAGGAAGGCAGCAGGCGCGCAAAUUACCCAAUCCUGAUACAGGGAGGUAGUGACAAGAAAUAACAAUACAGGGCAAUUCUGUCUUGUAAUUGGAAUGAGUAGAUUUUAAAUCUCUUUACGAGUAUCAAUUGGAGGGCAAGUCUGGUGCCAGCAGCCGCGGUAAUUCCAGCUCCAAUAGCGUAUAUUAAAGUUGUUGCGGUUAAAAAGCUCGUAGUUGGAUUUCUGCCUUGGGCGACCGAUCCACCUUUCCUACGGGAUUGGUUGGUAUCAGGUUUGACCUUGGCUUUUUCUUGGGAUUCGUGCUCACGUACUUAACUGUGCGUAGACCGUGUUCCAAGACUUUUACUUUGAGGAAAUUAGAGUGUUCAAGCAGGCUUAUGCCA
RNAcentral lists this non-coding RNA (798 nucleotides) under Perkinsus marinus ATCC 50983. Its description in RNAcentral is "Eukaryotic small subunit ribosomal RNA". It matches the Rfam family "Eukaryotic small subunit ribosomal RNA", at positions 1 to 796 of the family's 1831-position model. The record is from Rfam by way of RNAcentral. Lineage: Eukaryota; Perkinsozoa; Perkinsida; Perkinsidae.